Sinocyclocheilus grahami is the source of this 102-nucleotide long non-coding RNA. RefSeq lists it as uncharacterized. NCBI's taxonomy places the organism in Eukaryota, Metazoa, Chordata, Actinopteri, Cypriniformes, Cyprinidae. The record is from RefSeq and is a predicted model, not a curated record. The transcript is spliced from 3 exons.
CUAAGUUUUUAUGGUCAAUGAUUACAACGAUACCAUAUACAGCAACAUAAACUGUUCAGGUGAAGAGUUAAUUGUGAAAUCAGCUAUGUAAGAGAUGGGAAG